This is a long non-coding RNA of Herpailurus yagouaroundi (jaguarundi), 808 nucleotides long. RefSeq lists it as uncharacterized. The record is from RefSeq and is a predicted model, not a curated record. The transcript is spliced from 4 exons. Lineage: Eukaryota; Metazoa; Chordata; Mammalia; Carnivora; Felidae.
UCCCCAGCUAAAGCAAAAGAAGUUUGACUCCUGUAGGUGGAACAAAGGAGGGGUGGGAAGCUUUUCUUAAACUAACUCUGUGUACAUGCCUGAGCAACUUUACAGCGCGUGUUCAGCUUUAAUCAGAAGAUUUCUGCACAGCCUCAAGACCUAACCUCGGCCUCCAGCACGCGGUGCUCACUGCGCCUUAUCCUGUAAAAUCAGUGAACGCUCGGGUGCACAUAUGCACAGUAGCUGACUUUACAAAAUGGGUAGAAAUGGCACUCCAGGGCCAAAGCUUGCCCUUUGUUUAAGACUGGAUCCGAUUCAUGUUACAGACUGUAUGUGCCUCUUAUAUGAAUUAUUAAAAAAAAAAAAAAUCUACCCAUCAUGGACAAAGGACCUGAGUUUAGAAUGAAAGCGAAGACGACAGAAAGGAAAGAAGAACCUAGCCCAUAAUUCAGUAGAGCUCUAUUUUUGUCUAGCUCCUUUACCAAAGGAGUCACAGGAGGUUAAAAUGCUAGCAUGGUGAUGACCCAGCCUCAAUCCUGAUUGACUACAACACCCUUGAGAAGACACAAUAAUGAAACAGAAGGAACCUUAAUUUCUACUCUAGACAGGAAAGAAGAAAGAGAACACACCUUCAUCGCUCCUAUUUUUUCUUCAACCACAGUAGCUAAUAUAUUCACGGAUACAUCAAAAGAAAAACUCCAACCAUCCUGUUUUCUUUCACUCAAGCAAAAUCAACUUUCCUCAUUUCCCAACAAAUAUUUCAUCAGGAUGCUAUAAUAUUGUGUAUAUUAAAAUAGUUCUCCAUUAGUUUUCUAGU